RNAcentral lists this long non-coding RNA (496 nucleotides) under Nicotiana tabacum (common tobacco). Its description in RNAcentral is "long non-coding RNA (NTAB_LNC018479)". Lineage: Eukaryota; Viridiplantae; Streptophyta; Magnoliopsida; Solanales; Solanaceae. The record is from RNAcentral.
ACGUACUGAGUUUAGCCCCAUGCGCACGUCACCUUGCGCCGCUACUUGCAUGAGGCCUCGCCGAUCCGUUGCCAAAAGCCAUCAGACGCCACGAGCAAUGUCGCCUCCCGAUGUUGCCCACAACAACCGAUGGCGACACGUACUUAGCCUAGCCCCAUGCGUACGGCACCUUGCGGCGCUACUUGCACGAGGCAUCGCCGUUCCGUUGCAAAAAGCCAUCAGCCUCCACGAGCGAUGUCGCUUCCCGGUGUUGCCCGCAAUAACCGAUGGCAGUCGGCACGUACUUAGCUUAGCCACAUGCGCAUGGCACCUUGCGGCGCUACUUGCAUGCGGACUAGCCGUUCCGUUGCCAAAAACCAUCAGACGCUACGAGCGAUGCCGGACACUACUCAUAACAAUCGAUGGCAAUCGGCACCUACUUAGAUUAGCCCCAUGCGCAUGACACUUUGUGGUGCUACUUGCAUGAGGCCUCGCCAUUCCGUUUCCAAAAACCAUC